This 497-nucleotide ribosomal RNA is filed under the name uncultured bacterium. RNAcentral describes it as "partial 16S ribosomal RNA". It matches the Rfam family "Bacterial small subunit ribosomal RNA", at positions 28 to 507 of the family's 1533-position model. The record is from RNAcentral.
GAUGAACGCUGGCGGCGUGCCUAAUACAUGCAAGUCGAGCGAACGGACGAGAAGCUUGCUUCUCUGAUGUUAGCGGCGGACGGGUGAGUAACACGUGGAUAACCUACCUAUAAGACUGGGAUAACUUCGGGAAACCGGAGCUAAUACCGGAUAAUAUUUUGAACCGCAUGGUUCAAAAGUGAAAGACGGUCUUGCUGUCACUUAUAGAUGGAUCCGCGCUGCAUUAGCUAGUUGGUAAGGUAACGGCUUACCAAGGCAACGAUGCAUAGCCGACCUGAGAGGGUGAACGGCCACACUGGAACAGAGACACGGUCCAGACUCCGACGGGAGGCAGCAGUAGGGAAUCUUCCGCAAUGGGCGAGAGCCUGACGGAGCAACGCCGCGUGAGUGAUGAAGGUCUUCGGAUCGUAAAACUCUGUUAUUAGGGAAGAACAUAUGUGUAAGUAACUGUGCACAUCUUGACGGUACCGAAUCAGAAAGCCACGGCUAACUACGUG